Molecule: long non-coding RNA, 1473 nt
Organism: Leopardus geoffroyi (Geoffroy's cat)
Lineage: Eukaryota; Metazoa; Chordata; Mammalia; Carnivora; Felidae
Exons: 6
Source: RefSeq, a predicted model, not a curated record
UUGUAGAAGGUAUGAGAUGUCACUUUUGUGAUGAGACUAUGAAGAUGGGUUUUGUUUAUGACCUAAUCAUGUAAAUGGCACUCUCUUCUGGCACUUUCUCUCUGGCUCUUCUCAUGAAGCAAGCAGGAGAGACCUAUGUGGGUGGCAAGGAACUGAGGGCACCUCCUGCCACCUGUCAGCAAGAAGUGAGGCCCUCUGUCCAACAGCCUCCGAUGAACUGAAUGCUGCCCACACCACAAGAGUGAGCUUUGACGUGGAUCCCUCCCCAGUUGAACCUUCAGGCAAGACCGCAGCCCAGGCCGACACCUGCCCUGUGAUGGAUCCUGAGCAGAGGAGCCAGGGAAGCCACACCUAGAUCCCUGCCCCACCAAAAGUGUGAGGAAGAAUAAAUAGAAGCAGUAAGUAUGCUGUGGAAGCCUCGCUUAUUUUUGGAGGCACCUUGAGGCUACCUAGAAGGAACCAGGGGGCCAGGGAGUAGCUGUUUGUGCUGACGACCGGUUGGGAAGAGCGUUCAGGGUGGAGAAGCAGCGUUUCUGCUGUUCCUUUGAAACCGAGUUAGACCUUGCCAUUGGCCUCAGGAAACUUCCCGUUGACUGUCUCCUGGAGACACUGUAACACAUGCAAGCUCGGCAGCCAAGUCAGGGACGAUACACUUUUGGAGUAAGGCACGCUCCUUCCUCACCUCUGGACCUCCACUCUGCUCCGCCUCCCCUGACUCUGUGUCUCAGCUGCCCCAAGAGGCCCAUGGGUCCGUUCACCGUGCUCCACCUCCAAUGCCGCUACCCUCUCUGAGCUGCCCGGAUGACGAGGAUGGUCCGUCGGCUGUGCGCCCGCGGCUCUUACUGGCCCCCGCACCAGAGUCCACGCUGCAGCUAGAGUGACCUUAACACACGUGGACCGCAGAAGGUUCUUUCUGGACACUGAAAACAUGUCUCACCCGUUCCCCACCCCAUUUCUCAAAAAGCCUCAGCGCUGGAUUGAAAAGCACGCAUUGCAACAGGAUGAUUGAGGGAAGGUAAUUAUGUAUUAUUAAAUGCAAAAAAAAAAAAAAAAAAAAGAGAGAGAGAGAGAGAAAAAUUGUUCUUUGCAACACCCCUAUGGCUUGGCAGAAAUGAAAAUAGCAAAAUGCUAAAAUGGUUUUCCUGCCAGUGGGAUGAAUGGAUGCCUGCCCCCUUGAUUUGGGGUCAUUGGCUGCAGGGACUGCCCUGAGCACCAGUGGAGACCCUGAGGAGUGGGGACGGAUGGCUCCAGCGUGGGGGUCUUUGUGGGGACGUGGGCCACAGAAAGGGAGGGGGCAUAGAAGCCCGGAGGAGAUGUUUUCUUGUUCCCUUGGCUCGGAAGGUGGGUGGUCUCUGUGUCUUUGGAUGAGACCUUUCUGGGUAGGAUGAGGGUGAUAAUACCCAAACAUCAAAAUCAUACCCCACGUGGCCCAGCACUUUAAAGUUUACAAAGUGCAGGGGCACCUGGGUGGCU